This 73-nucleotide transfer RNA is filed under the name Negombata magnifica. RNAcentral's name for it is "transfer RNA-Val (UAC)". It matches the Rfam family "tRNA". Rfam says of the family: Transfer RNA (tRNA) molecules are approximately 80 nucleotides in length. Their secondary structure includes four short double-helical elements and three loops (D, anti-codon, and T loops). Further hydrogen bonds mediate the characteristic L-shaped molecular structure. tRNAs have two regions of fundamental functional importance: the anti-codon, which is responsible for specific mRNA codon recognition, and the 3' end, to which the tRNAs corresponding amino acid is attached (by aminoacyl-tRNA synthetases). tRNAs cope with the degeneracy of the genetic code in two manners: having more than one tRNA (with a specific anti-codon) for a particular amino acid; and 'wobble' base-pairing, i.e. permitting non-standard base-pairing at the 3rd anti-codon position. The record is from RNAcentral. Lineage: Eukaryota; Metazoa; Porifera; Demospongiae; Poecilosclerida; Latrunculiidae.
GAGUCUUUAGCUCAGUUGGUAGAGUAUCGUAUUUACACUACGAGGGUGAGAAGUUCAAGUCUUUUAGGGCUCA